GCAACACUACGCUCUGAACUGACUUCCUCUGUAGUCAGUAUGUUACUCAUUUUAGUUUCAUGCAGAUGCUCCUGCAGAUUAAUGUUUUUCGACUCUUCCAUAAAGGAAGAUGGUACUGCAUCUGAUUCGGUGUGUGCAAUAGGUUCAGGUUCUCUGACUUCCUCUGUAGUCAAUAUGUUACUCAUUUUAGUCGUCCGUAGAUUUUCCUGCAGAUAAAUGUUAUUCGACUCUGCCACAAAAGAAGAUGGUACUACAUCUGAUUCAGUGUGUGCAAUAGGUUCAGGUUCUCUGACUUCCUCUGUAGUCAAUAUGUUACUCAUUUUAGUCGUCUGUAUAUUUUCCUGCAGAUAAAUGUUAUUCGAAUCUGCCACAAAAGAAGAUGGUACUGCAUCUGAUUCAGUGUGUUCAUUAGGUACAGAUGCUCCCAAGGUCAAAGAGCCAUUGGAACUAGGAGCCAACUGAUUAGUAUCUAGAGACUCAAUAUUGUUGGUAACAAACGUUUGUAUCAAAUAGGUUCCAUCAUGUUGCAGCACAUCUGCCUCCCCAUCCUCACGCUCAUUG
RNAcentral lists this long non-coding RNA (561 nucleotides) under Solanum lycopersicum (tomato). RNAcentral's name for it is "long non-coding RNA (SLYC_LNC001113)". The record is from RNAcentral. Lineage: Eukaryota; Viridiplantae; Streptophyta; Magnoliopsida; Solanales; Solanaceae.